This 500-nucleotide ribosomal RNA is filed under the name uncultured bacterium. RNAcentral's name for it is "partial 16S ribosomal RNA". It matches the Rfam family "Bacterial small subunit ribosomal RNA", at positions 30 to 523 of the family's 1533-position model. The record is from RNAcentral.
AUUGAACGCUGGCGGAAUGCUUUACACAUGCAAGUCGAACGGCAGCACGGACUUCGGUCUGGUGGCGAGUGGCGAACGGGUGAGUAAUGUAUCGGAACGUGCCCAGUCGUGGGGGAUAACGUAGUGAAAAUUACGCUAAUACCGCAUACGAUCUAUGGAUGAAAGCGGGGGAUCGCAAGACCUCGCGCGAUUGGAGCGGCCGAUAUCAGAUUAGGUAGUUGGUGGGGUAAAGGCCCACCAAGCCAACGAUCUGUAGCUGGUCUGAGAGGACGACCAGCCACCAUGGAACUGAGACACGGUCCAGACUCCUACGGGAGGCAGCAGUGGGGAAUUUUGGACAAUGGGCGAAAGCCUGAUCCAGCCAUUCCGCGUGCAGGAUGAAGGCCCUCGGGUUGUAAACUGCUUUUGUACAGAACGAAAAGGUUUCUACUAAUACUAGGAGCUCAUGGCGGUACUGUAAGAAUAAGCACCGGCUAACUACGUGCCAGCAGCCGCGGUAA